Molecule: long non-coding RNA, 579 nt
Organism: Drosophila nasuta
Lineage: Eukaryota; Metazoa; Arthropoda; Insecta; Diptera; Drosophilidae
Exons: 2
Source: RefSeq, a predicted model, not a curated record
UCAAUUUUUAAUUUUCUUUGAAGAGUUGAUUUCCGUACUUAUGAAAUCACUUGAGUUUAUUUGCUUUGUUGAAAUUAUCUGUGGGUAGCUCAUCAACCUGUGGCAGUAGAAAAUCGUUCGACGAUGAGAUCGAUUGGAAUAAUUGUCAUUUUUGCUUGUAUUCUGGCCUAUAUCAGCCAGGCUCAAGGCGAGUGCUGUCGAGCGUCAUUAACUAUAAGUUAUACUGUCAAUGGUGGGAGCUGUGGAGAUGUUGGCGGACACACUGGCAAAAAAGGAUGCACUAUUACGAUAUGUGCCGAUGGUAAACCCCAGGUGGGAACCUUCUGUGGACGUGGAUCGUGUAAUCUCUUUGGCUGUGCCUGCAAAAAAGGUUGCAUUACUGGCGACUGGGAAAAAAGUUUCCGUAGUGUUAAUAAUGGUUGGACCAUAAAUAUUUUCGAUAUGACCUGGAAUACAUAAUGAGAAGUGUGUUAUUUUCUGAGUAUCAAGAAUGAAAUCGAGUAUAUAUUGCAUACAUACAUCCUAAUGACAAUAAAUAAAUGGUAUGUCUGAAUAUAAAUACCAAAUUAUGUAAUUUAA